CCGUUCAUCAAAUCAUACAUCAAAAUACAUCCACUAAUACAUAAACAUCAUAGCAUACAUAUUACCUAAAUUGAAUUAAAUAAUUUAUCAAGCAAACACACUCAAGGAAAAUGAUACACGUUAUUGAAAACAUAUUGACAUACCAUCAUCAAGUUCAAUUACCAUCCCAUUACCAACAAGUAACAUAAAACCUAACAAAUUAUUUAUAUCCAUUUAAUCUC
RNAcentral lists this long non-coding RNA (221 nucleotides) under Lathyrus oleraceus (garden pea). RNAcentral's name for it is "Pisum sativum (pea) long non-coding RNA (PSAT_LNC022357)". The record is from RNAcentral. Lineage: Eukaryota; Viridiplantae; Streptophyta; Magnoliopsida; Fabales; Fabaceae.